This 71-nucleotide transfer RNA is filed under the name Pseudobranchus axanthus (narrow-striped dwarf siren). RNAcentral describes it as "tRNA-Gln". It matches the Rfam family "tRNA". From Rfam's summary of the family: Transfer RNA (tRNA) molecules are approximately 80 nucleotides in length. Their secondary structure includes four short double-helical elements and three loops (D, anti-codon, and T loops). Further hydrogen bonds mediate the characteristic L-shaped molecular structure. tRNAs have two regions of fundamental functional importance: the anti-codon, which is responsible for specific mRNA codon recognition, and the 3' end, to which the tRNAs corresponding amino acid is attached (by aminoacyl-tRNA synthetases). tRNAs cope with the degeneracy of the genetic code in two manners: having more than one tRNA (with a specific anti-codon) for a particular amino acid; and 'wobble' base-pairing, i.e. permitting non-standard base-pairing at the 3rd anti-codon position. The record is from RNAcentral. Lineage: Eukaryota; Metazoa; Chordata; Amphibia; Caudata; Sirenidae.
UAAGAAGUGGUGUAGAGGAAGCACAAAGAGUUUUGAUCUCUUAAGGGUAGGUUCAAGUCCUACCUUUUUAA